RNAcentral lists this small RNA (21 nucleotides) under Arabidopsis thaliana (thale cress). Its description in RNAcentral is "Ath_wt_01368". Lineage: Eukaryota; Viridiplantae; Streptophyta; Magnoliopsida; Brassicales; Brassicaceae. The record is from RNAcentral.
CCGACGCGGAUUACGGUGGCG